Molecule: long non-coding RNA, 438 nt
Filed under: Astyanax mexicanus (Mexican tetra)
Lineage: Eukaryota; Metazoa; Chordata; Actinopteri; Characiformes; Acestrorhamphidae
Description: lncRNA (ENSAMXG00005019734.1)
Source: RNAcentral
GGCAUCAUAGCUGGUAGUGUGGCAAUAGCUGCACAGAGUCUCCGUCUUCCUAAACUGAAGGCCUGUUUGGGGAUGCAGAUUGUUUUGUGUGUAGUGUCAGUGACCUCCUUUUUUAUGAGCUCGGGGGUAAUUAUGUACACCCAUGUGUAUCACCGCUGCUGGGAAUUUGAACAUGAUAACCACACUUCUAAAAUAUUCGAUAUGUGCGAAGGGUUGUCGAUUGCGUAUGAUCAUGUGAAAGGACUGGAAAUGCUAGUGCUCGGAGCUCAGAUUGCCAUCUCUGCCACUUUAUCUGCGUUCUGCUGCAAAGUUAUUCAGUGCUGUUCUCCCCGGUCCAGCAUUCCCACGAUUGUUCUGAAUGCAGCCUCAGCUCCUCAGAGACGGCCAUCCAUACAAUAAACCAUGUAAUCAUUCAUAUGCUGUUACACAUAUACACAU